RNAcentral lists this ribosomal RNA (253 nucleotides) under uncultured bacterium. Its description in RNAcentral is "partial 16S ribosomal RNA". It matches the Rfam family "Bacterial small subunit ribosomal RNA", at positions 524 to 776 of the family's 1533-position model. The record is from RNAcentral.
UACGUAGGUGGCAAGCGUUGUCCGGAUUUACUGGGCGUAAAGAGCGCGCAGGCGGUCGUUCAAGUCGCGUGUGAAAGCCCCCGGCUCAACUGGGGAGGGUCACGCGAUACUGAUCGACUCGAAGGCAGGAGAGGGAAGUGGAAUUCCCGGUGUAGUGGUGAAAUGCGUAGAUAUCGGGAGGAACACCAGUGGCGAAGGCGGCGACCUGGACGGACACUGACGCUGAGGAGCGAAAGCGUGGGGAGCAAACAGG